CAUACAAAGAGAAGCGACCUCGCGAGAGCAAGCGGACCUCAUAAAGUGCGUCGUAGUCCGGAUUGGAGUCUGCAACUCGACUCCAUGAAGUCGGAAUCGCUAGUAAUCGUGGAUCAGAAUGCCACGGUGAAUACGUUCCCGGGCCUUGUACACACCGCCCGUCACACCAUGGGAGUGGGUUGCAAAAGAAGUAGGUAGCUUAACCUUCGGGAGGGCGCUUACCACUUUGUGAUUCAUGACUGGGGUGAAGUCGUAACAAGGUAACCGUAGGGGAACCUGCGGUUGGAUCACCUCCUUACCUGAAAGAAGC
This 310-nucleotide ribosomal RNA is filed under the name Salmonella enterica subsp. enterica serovar Panama. RNAcentral describes it as "partial 16S ribosomal RNA". It matches the Rfam family "Bacterial small subunit ribosomal RNA", at positions 1236 to 1533 of the family's 1533-position model. Lineage: Bacteria; Pseudomonadati; Pseudomonadota; Gammaproteobacteria; Enterobacterales; Enterobacteriaceae. The record is from RNAcentral. RNAcentral also lists the same sequence under 1 other name.